This is a long non-coding RNA of Musca domestica (house fly), 538 nucleotides long. RefSeq lists it as uncharacterized. The transcript has 2 exons. The record is from RefSeq and is a predicted model, not a curated record. NCBI's taxonomy places the organism in Eukaryota, Metazoa, Arthropoda, Insecta, Diptera, Muscidae.
ACAUACCAAAAAUACAAUACAGCUUGAGAAUAAUAUUAUGAAAAUAGUUUAUCGUAAGAAUUCCUCAACAAUGCUAGAGAAAAACUUUUUUGCACAAACUUUUCUCAAAUCUGUCCUUUGUUGACAAAUUUGUUUUGAUUUUUUUUUUUUUUUUGUGAAAAUUGUCGACAAAAAAAAAAUAUUUUCUUUGGUUAAAAUCAAAAUCACGCGAAUUUAAAACCCAUUUCUGGACGAAACUCUAAGAAUAGAGGCGUCAAAAAGUUGCAAGAAUUCAAGAGAAGUGAAGAAUUAGUGGAGGAGAUGCGGAAGCUCAAAUAAGGGGAAAGAAAUGCAGCUGGGAUGGCGAUCAAUGAAUGAAAUGUGUAAAAUAAUUAAAAAAUAAAUAUUUUAUACCAUUGAAAAAAUAAGCUUGAUAUAAUAUUACUUUCGUAAGCUUAUUCUGCAAUUACAAGAAUAAGCUUAUGAAUAAGGGUUCCCUUUCGAUUAUUCUAUAAUUGUUAAACAAGCAUUUCUCAAUACAUUCUCAAGAUUUUCUCAA